AUAAGUAUCCAACAUAUGUUGUAUUUCAUAACAAAAGUAGAUCAAACAAAUCAAAAUUGAAUUUUAAUUCUACAUUGUGUUUUCUACCUUAAUUCAAAUUAAUUGUAAUUUUUCAGUCAAGCCUCACAUAAACUUCAAGAAAACUAUUCCCUCUCAGUUUGAAUGGAUGAAUAAACCAGAACGAUGUAAUGCUUCACUGCUUAACAUCAACUGCAUCAAUGACAAGAACAGUAAGUAAUGGACAUGUUUUUUUAACAGCAAUUUGAACUGAAAAUCCUUCUUUUUUUUUUUUUUUGUCAUACUAUAUUUUCAUUGAUGAUUAAACAGAGAAGGGGAUGAUGAAUGAGUUUUCUCCUCUUUAUUUAUCAGAAAACAGCAUAAUUUAUGGUUUAAAUACCCCAGUGUCAUUAUUACCAGACACACAGUACAACUGCACUGGAGAAUAUCCUCAUGAGAAACAACACAUCAAGAGUCAUGAGCUCUCCUUCAGAAUAGAAUGUGGUCAGAUCAAACUUACAAAGAAUGGAGACGAAACAACAGACCAAGAGAUGAUUAUGAAUGACUGCAACAAUGUAGAGAAAUAUUGUGUAAAUCUUUAAACCAGUAUACCAUCAGUAAAGAAUGACCUGAUAUCCACAGGAAGCACAAAUUUUACUUCUGUUAGAGUUUUACCCCAACAAAACAUUUUUGAAAGAAAUAGAGGUCAAUAAUAAUUUGACAAUGAAUAAUUUGUUUUGAAAAACUCUGACAAUUAAAGUAAUUAAUUAAUAAAUAACAGUCAGAUUCCAACAGUCCAACAGAAGCCUGCAUUUAUUUGAUUCAAAGUAAAGCAAAUACAGUAACAUUUUAAAAUAUGUUUACCAUUUAAAACAUCUGUCCUCUAUUUCAUUUAAUCUAUUCUAAAAUAUUGACACAUGCAAACAAGGAGGAUUCAGUGUGCCCACAUUUGGGUGCGGGUUAAGAGGUAAAUAUAAUCAUGUAUUUUAAAAUGUAAUUUAUUUCUGUGAUCAAAACUGAUUUUUUAGCAUUAUUACUCCAGUCACAUGAACCUUUAGAAAUCAUUACAAUAUACAGAUUUUCUGCUCAAAAACAUUUUAUUAUUAUUAUUAUUAUUAUUAUUAAUAAAGCUUCAAUCACCGGAAUAUAUAUAUUUUUUUUAAAUGUAUCCAAAUAGAAAGAAAUAGUUAGUUAUUCUAAAUAGUACAAAUAUUUCACAAUAUUACUGCUUUUGCUGUAUUUUUGAUCAAAUAAGUACAGUAUAUACGUAUUUUUUAUGCUGUCACAUUUAACAAUUUCCAGUUUGUUCAGACUUAAAAACAUAAUGGUUUGAUUUUGUAACAUUAUGUAAUGAUAGUCAUUUUUAAAUGUGAUUAAAUGUGUCCAAAUACUCUUUGGGGACAAAAGAGAACGGCUGUAAAUGUAUUACCUUUUCUGUAAGCAAUUAAUGUCAAUGUUUUGCUUUAAUUAAUUGUUUGCCACAAGCUAACUUUACAUUAUUAUGUUAACAAAUGAUAGUUAAAACAACAUUACAAAAUUUGGACCAUAAAUGUAAUGCAAUGCAGCACCGAUCAAGGUUUAAUCAGGGUUUCUGCAUCGUCUUUGCGUGUCUAAUGACAUCUUUGUUUGUCUGAAAAGCAGGGCUGCUGCUGGCCAAAUGGGUGCCCAGUAAGCAGUAUUGUAUUGUUGUGCCCCCCUCCCUCAAAUAUCAUGAAAAAAUAUAUAUACUACAUGGGUAAAAACAGAAUUUUAAUUAAAUAAAAAGUAAAUGAAUAACAACAUUUGUAUUGUGUACAAUUUACAAUUGUAGCUCUCGACAGUUACCUAUGGAUAUUACUUUAAUGAUACAGUUGUCUAAUUGAUUUUAUAAUCUCAAGCAUUCAGAAAUCAUGCAAAAGAAAAUUAAGUAGUUUUACUAUGAUAAAACCAUGGUUUAUUUUUGUAAGGGUUGUGAUGUCCACAUGUUUUUUGUCGAAUAAAGUAUAAAGGUUGUUUCAUAACAAAAAGCUGGCCAAAAAUGAAAGGUUAAGCAACUAUUUGAAUGAAAUGUUUGGCCAGUAGCCUAAACAAGGAUCUGAUUGUCCUGUAAGUGUAACAGCAGCAAUUACCCUUUCGCUCCCUUUACAGGUAUUUGUAAUAAUUUUGUAAUAAAAUAUUUUGUAUUAGCCUUCAUUAUGUAUUUUAACAGUGGCAUUAACCAAUCAUUAUUGCCUCAUUGUUUUUUUUUUUUUUUUGUAUAAUCCAUUUGAAGUCAUUUUAAAGGCUAUUGAUGGCUUAGGUCUGAAAACAAUUGAAUAUAACAUGUAUCAAUAUUAUUGUUUUCCAAAGACUGUAUAACUGUAACUCAACAAGCAUUAAACUUGUCCUUUUAUAUUCUGUUGUAUGGUCAUUUACAUUGCAUUUGAAGUUGAAAAUCUAAAGAAUGAAUACAAAUGCAACUUUAUUUAACUGCAUAAAAAUAAUAUCAGAAUGUUGUUUUAGAGUCCAAUAAAUACAAAUUUUUAGAAUUUGCAGAUUCCCUCUCAGACCUUCUGUUUACAGUUGAUAAAGGGUUAAUCACGGGAGAUUUUAAUAUUCAUGUUGAUAAUACAAAUGAUGCAUUAGGACUUGUGUUUACUGCCUCAAAGUGAUGAUGUUACAGACCAUUUCCUUUUAUCGUGCAUGCUGCAUAUCUGUUACAGAGGAGGUUCCUGUACUGCCUCCCUUGCACCACCAGGGGGAGCCAUCACCCGAAUAUUAGUUUUACUAUAAACUCCAUUUCCCACAAGGCCUCACACCUGGGACUAAUUACACUUACACCUGCACCUCAUUUCCACACUCAUAUAAGCUGCUCACACACACACACACUCAUUUGCGAAGUCUUGAUUUGCCCCAGCUGUCAGUUAUGAGCGUUAUUACCCGUGUUUUGUUUUCUUCUCUUAACCCUGGACUGUUUCACGUUAUUGAUUGCUCUCUCUGCCUCAACUUUCUGCCUGAGUACCUGUCUCUGCCUUGCCCCCAUUGCUCAGUAUGCUGUCGUUUGACCCUGUCUGACUAUCCAAAAUAAAGAGCUGCAAAUGGAUCAAACUCCGUCUGGUUCUUCGCAACAGUAUCACUGAUAUUAACCACAUGUCUCAGCGUUACCAUCUGGUCAGAAUUAUUGUUCAAGUCACCAAAAACAGAUUCGCAAAUAACCUGCCUGAUCUACCUCAACUGCUAUAUGUACCCAAAAAUACACAUGAACUAGACGAAAUGACCGACAACAUGGCCACUAUUUUUUCUAAUACAUUAGAAGCUGUUGCCCCCAUCAAAUUGAAAAAGUUUAAUAAAAAUGUACUGUGGC
This 3319-nucleotide long non-coding RNA is filed under the name Carassius auratus (goldfish). Its description in RNAcentral is "lncRNA (ENSCARG00000023681.1)". The record is from RNAcentral. Lineage: Eukaryota; Metazoa; Chordata; Actinopteri; Cypriniformes; Cyprinidae.